CACGAAGGGUUUCGGCCUUAGUGGCGGACGGGUGAGUAACGCGUAGGUAUCUAUCCAUGGGGUGGGGGAUAACACUGGGAAACUGGUGCUAAUACCGCAUGACACCUGAGGGUCAAAGGCGUAAGUCGCCUGUGGAGGAGCCUGCGUUUGAUUAGCUAGUUGGUGGGGUAAAGGCCUACCAAGGCGAUGAUCAAUAGCUGGUUUGAGAGGAUGAUCAGCCACACUGGGACUGAGACACGGCCCAGACUCCUACGGGAGGCAGCAGUGGGGAAUAUUGGACAAUGGGGGCAACCCUGAUCCAGCAAUGCCGCGUGUGUGAAGAAGGUCUUCGGAUUGUAAAGCACUUUCGACGGGGACGAUGAUGACGGUACCCGUAGAAGAAGCCCCGGCUAACUUCGUGCCAGCAGCCGCGGUAAUACGAAGGGGGCUAGCGUUGCUCGGAAUGACUGGGCGUAAAGGGCGUGUAGGCGGUUUGUACAGUCAGAUGUGAAAUCCCCGGGCUUAACCUGGGAGCUGCAUUUGAUACGUGCAGACUANAGUGUGAGAGAGGGUUGUGGAAUUCCCAGUGUAGAGGUGAAAUUCGUAGAUAUUGGGNAAGAACACCGGUGGCGAAGGCGGCAACCUGGCUCAUUACUGACGCU
This 641-nucleotide ribosomal RNA is filed under the name Acetobacter pasteurianus. RNAcentral's name for it is "bacterial SSU rRNA". It matches the Rfam family "Bacterial small subunit ribosomal RNA", at positions 65 to 747 of the family's 1533-position model. Lineage: Bacteria; Pseudomonadati; Pseudomonadota; Alphaproteobacteria; Acetobacterales; Acetobacteraceae. The record is from RNAcentral.